AACACUUGGGACUAUUAUAUCAAAUACCGGAAGAAAAGAGGCUAAAAGAAACUGACGCAAAUAAAUAUAAAUAAAGGGCUCCUUUGCAAAAUACAAUUUGCACUCUACCCUAUUUUGAAAACACUUUUGCUAAAUACCCCAUGUUUUAAAUGAAAGGGGUGUAAAGUUACGUAUAUACUCUUUUUUCAAUCAACAUAAAAAAAAAUUAAUAAAACUUAAAAAAAGGAAAAAAAAAAAGAUUAAAAAAAAAACCAGUGAUCCAUAAUCAUCUUCUUCUAAAUCGACCCCUUCCCCAUUCAUGCACCCACACCAAUUCAGGACGACCACCACCACCGACGACCAUCGUGGAUCACUGCCCACUGUUGAUCAUCGGCCACCAUAUCCAGUCAAAGAUUACAAACUUCAAAGAUUGGGAGUAAGAAAAUGGUAAAAAUAAAAAGGAUUCCAAGCUCAACCCAAGCCCAAUCCGGCCCAGCAUCCCUUUCACUACCAUCUACCACGUGUCUGCAUUUGAUUCGUCAAGCCGAGCUGCCUGGAGCUGAGCCGAGUUGCUUGAGCUGCCUGACGCAUGCCUGCCGAAGUCCUACCUGCUUGACACGCGUCCCACCAGUGCCUGACGAAGCCGAGCCGAGCCACCAGCUGCCACGCUGUCCUGCCGAGCCAACCAAAAGGCGCCACAUCGCCUUGUUGUCUCCCACUCCACCAACAUCAUUUUUCUGAUAGCCAAUUAACGCAUGCCACAUGUCCCACUUUGCUCCAAUUUUGCAGCCAUUUCCCCCACUAUUUUGUACACGAUUUUACACAUUUUUUGCCAUAUUUUCUCUAUAAAUAGAUAACCAAAACCAGUGUAAAUGAUCAGAUUGGGAGUGGAAAAAGACACUUUGUAUUUUGUUUCUUUUCUUAUUUCUAGUUUAAUUUUGCUUGUUUUAGGUGACAAAAAUGAGUGAAUUAUUUUAGAAAUAUUGGUGAGGUUAGAGUGUAGUUGUUGUACUUUUCAUUCUCAAUAUUGAUAUUGAUUCUUCUUCAGCUUCAUUUCCAUAUCUCAUUAAUUAUUUUGUUUCUCAUAUUCUAAUUUCUUUUCUAAAAUUAU
Long non-coding RNA from Humulus lupulus (European hop), 1090 nucleotides. RefSeq lists it as uncharacterized. The record is from RefSeq and is a predicted model, not a curated record. The transcript has 2 exons. Lineage: Eukaryota; Viridiplantae; Streptophyta; Magnoliopsida; Rosales; Cannabaceae.